UCACGAUAAUGGCAAACUCAUUCGAAAGAUGAGGACGCAAAGCCACGGGCCUUCAUUCACAUGAAUAUGGCAGCCGGGUUGCCGAA
RNAcentral lists this non-coding RNA (86 nucleotides) under Bacillus sp. (in: firmicutes). RNAcentral describes it as "Bacillus sp. c-di-GMP sequence". It matches the Rfam family "c-di-GMP-I riboswitch aptamer". Rfam says of the family: GEMM was predicted in a large-scale screen for bacterial structured RNA regulatory elements. Genes associated with GEMM are involved in a diverse array of functions, including chemotaxis regulation, signal transduction, secretion and chitin. The record is from RNAcentral. RNAcentral also lists the same sequence under 1 other name. Lineage: Bacteria; Bacillati; Bacillota; Bacilli; Caryophanales; Bacillaceae.